This 525-nucleotide ribosomal RNA is filed under the name uncultured bacterium. Its description in RNAcentral is "bacterial SSU rRNA". It matches the Rfam family "Bacterial small subunit ribosomal RNA", at positions 355 to 896 of the family's 1533-position model. The record is from RNAcentral.
UGGGGAAUAUUGGGCAAUGGGCGCAAGCCUGACCCAGCGACGCCGCGUGAGGGAAGACAGCCUUCGGGUUGUAAACCUCUGUUGCAGGGGAAGAAGGAAGUGACGGUACCCUGCGAGGAAGCUCCGGCUAACUACGUGCCAGCAGCCGCGGUAAUACGUAGGGAGCGAGCGUUGUCCGGAAUUACUGGGCGUAAAGGGCGCGUAGGCGGCGCUUCAAGUCGUCUGUCAAAAGCCGAGGCUCAACCUCGGUGCGCAGACGAAACUGGAGAGCUUGAGAAGCAGAGAGGCAAACAGAAUUCCUGGUGUAGCGGUGAAAUGCGUAGAUAUCAGGAAGAAUACCAGUGGCGAAGGCGGUUUGCUGGCUGCAUACUGUCGCUGAAGCGCGAAAGCCAGGGGAGCAAACGGGAUUAGAUACCCCGGUAGUCCUGGCAGUAAACGAUGUAUGCUGGGUGUGGGACUAGCGAUAGUUCCGUGCCGAAGUUAACGCGAUAAGCAUACCGCCUGGGGAGUACGGUCGCAAGAUUG